Molecule: ribosomal RNA, 465 nt
Filed under: uncultured bacterium
Lineage: Bacteria
Description: partial 16S ribosomal RNA
Rfam family: Bacterial small subunit ribosomal RNA
Source: RNAcentral
GACGAACGCUGGCGGCGUGCUUAAUACAUGCAAGUCGAACGGAAAGGCCCUGCUUGCAGGGUACUCGAGUGGCGAACGGGUGAGUAACACGCGGGUGAAUUGCCCUCCACUUCGGGAUAAGCCAGGUAAACUGGGUCUAAUACAGGACAGGAGCUAUUUUUAGCGUGAUGGUUGGAAAGUUUUUUCGGUGUAGGAUGAGAUCGAGGCCUAUCAGCUUGUUGGUGGGGUAAUGGCCUACCAAGGCGGCGGCGGGUAGCCGGCCUGAGAGGGUGGACGGCCACAUUGGGACUGAGAUACGGCCCAGACUCCUACGGGAGGCAGCUGGGGGGAAUAUUGCACAAGGGGCGCAAGCCUGAUGCAGCGACGCCGCGGGGGGGAUGACGGCCUUCUGGUUGUAAACUCCUUUCGCUAGUGACGAAGCUUGUUGUGACGGUACCUAGAUAAGAAGCACCGGCUAACUACGUG